This 229-nucleotide unclassified non-coding RNA is filed under the name plant metagenome. Its description in RNAcentral is "partial contains small subunit ribosomal RNA, internal transcribed spacer 1, and 5.8S ribosomal RNA". The record is from RNAcentral.
UCUCCGUAGGUGAACCUGCGGAGGGAUCAUUACAGAGUUCUCGCCCUCGCGGGUAGAUCUCCCACCCACUGUUAUCGCUACUGUGUUGCUUUGGCGGGUCGCCGGGCCCCGCUCGGCCGCCGGCUCCGGCUGGCGCGCGCCCGCCAGAGGCCCGGCAAACUCUGAAUGUUAGUGUCGUCUGAGUACUAUAUAAUAGUUAAAACUUUCAACAACGGAUCUCUUGGUUCUG